Molecule: ribosomal RNA, 889 nt
Filed under: uncultured archaeon
Lineage: Archaea
Description: bacterial SSU rRNA
Rfam family: Archaeal small subunit ribosomal RNA
Source: RNAcentral
ACUGCUAUCGGGGUGGGACUAAGACAUGCGAGUCGAGCGUCUCUAGCUAUGUUGAGACGCGGCAUACGGCUCAGUAACACGUGGCUAACCUACCCUCAGGACGGGGACAAACCCGGGAAACUGGGGCUAAUAUCCGAUAGGCGAGGAAUCCUGGAAUGGUUCUUCACCCAAAGGACAUUGGAAACAUGCUUUCUCUGUCGCCUGGGGAUGGGGCCGCGACCGAUCAGGUUGUUGGUGAGGUAAUGGCUCACCAAGCCUAUAACCGGUACGGGCCGUGAGAGCGGUAGCCCGGAGAUGGGUACUGAGACAAGGACCCAGGCCCUACGGGGCGCAGCAGUCGCGAAAACUCCGCAAUGCACGAAAGUGUGACGGGGCUACCCCGAGUGCCGUCCGCUGAGGAUGGCUUUUCCUUGGUGUAACUAGCCGGGGGAAUAAGGAGAGGGCAAGACUGGUGUCAGCCGCCGCGGUAAUACCAGCUCUCCGAGUGGUAGGGAUGAUUAUUGGGCUUAAAGCGUCCGUAGCCGGCUUAGCAAGUCUCCUGUUAAAUUCAGCGACCUAAUCGUUGACCCGCGGGAGAUACUACUAGGCUAGGAGGCGGGAGAGGUCGACGGUACUUCUGGGGUAGGGGUGAAAUCCUAUAAUCCCGGGAGGACCACCAGUGGCGAAGGCUGUCGACUAGAACGCGCUCGACGGUGAGGGACGAAAGCUGGGGGAGCGAACCGGAUUAGAUACCCGGGUAGUCCCAGCUGUAAACGAUGCGGGCUAGGUGUUGGGGUGGCUACGUGCCACUUCAGUGCCGCAGGGAAGCCAUUAAGCCCGCCGCCUGGGGAGUACGGCCGCAAGGCUGAAACUUAAAGGAAUUGGCGGGGGAGCACCACAAGGCGUGAAG